Molecule: ribosomal RNA, 131 nt
Filed under: Scorpaena porcus (black scorpionfish)
Lineage: Eukaryota; Metazoa; Chordata; Actinopteri; Perciformes; Scorpaenidae
Description: partial small subunit ribosomal RNA
Source: RNAcentral
CGUUCAGAGUGGUUAUGGAAUUAAAUUUAACUUAAAGCCGUACCCCUUCACAGCUGUUAUACGCAUAUGAAGGGCAGAAGCCCUAUCACGAAAGUGGCUUUAUUAACCCUGACCCCACGAAAGCUAUGGCA